Molecule: ribosomal RNA, 249 nt
Filed under: uncultured bacterium
Lineage: Bacteria
Description: partial 16S ribosomal RNA
Rfam family: Bacterial small subunit ribosomal RNA
Source: RNAcentral
GAUCCUGGCUCAGGACGAACGCUGGCGGCGUGCCUAACACAUGCAAGUCGAACGGAACUGUUUUGAAAGAUUUCUUCGGAAUGAAUUUGAUUUAGUUUAGUGGUCGGACGGGUGAGUAACGCGUGAGUAACCUGCCUUCAAGAGGGGAUAACAUUCUGAAAAGAAUGCUAAUACCGCAUGAUAUAUCGGAACCACAUGGUUUUGAUAUCAAAGAUUUUAUCGCUUGAAGAUGGACUCGCGCCCGAUUAG